UUUGGUUCUGUGGCAACCACG
This 21-nucleotide small nuclear RNA is filed under the name Arabidopsis thaliana (thale cress). RNAcentral's name for it is "snRNA_15765". Lineage: Eukaryota; Viridiplantae; Streptophyta; Magnoliopsida; Brassicales; Brassicaceae. The record is from RNAcentral.